RNAcentral lists this ribosomal RNA (484 nucleotides) under uncultured bacterium. RNAcentral describes it as "partial 16S ribosomal RNA". It matches the Rfam family "Bacterial small subunit ribosomal RNA", at positions 29 to 507 of the family's 1533-position model. The record is from RNAcentral.
AUUGAACGCUGGCGGCAUGCUUUACACAUGCAAGUCGAACGGCAGCGCGGGCUUCGGCCUGGCGGCGAGUGGCGAACGGGUGAGUAAUACAUCGGAACGUGCCCAGUAGUGGGGGAUAGCUCUGCGAAAGCCGGAUUAAUACCGCAUACGACCUGAGGGUGAAAGCGGGGGAUCUUCGGACCUCGCGCUAUUGGAGCGGCCGAUGGCAGAUUAGCUAGUUGGUGGGGUAAAGGCCUACCAAGGCGACGAUCUGUAGCUGGUCUGAGAGGACGACCAGCCACACUGGGACUGAGACACGGCCCAGACUCCUACGGGAGGCAGCAGUGGGGAAUUUUGGACGAUGGGCGAAAGCCUGAUCCAGCAAUGCCGCGUGUGUGAUGAAGGCCUUCGGGUUGUAAAGCACUUUUGGCGGGAACGAAAAGGACUGUGCCAAUACCACGGUUCGAUGACGGUACCCGCAGAAUAAGCACCGGCUAACUACGUG